RNAcentral lists this transfer RNA (75 nucleotides) under Candidatus Woesearchaeota archaeon. RNAcentral's name for it is "tRNA-Met". It matches the Rfam family "tRNA". Rfam says of the family: Transfer RNA (tRNA) molecules are approximately 80 nucleotides in length. Their secondary structure includes four short double-helical elements and three loops (D, anti-codon, and T loops). Lineage: Archaea; Nanobdellati; Candidatus Woesearchaeota. The record is from RNAcentral.
GCCGCUGUAGCUCAGCCUGGUUAGAGCGCUAGACUCAUAAUCUAGAGGUCUCGAGUUCAAAUCUCGUCAGCGGCA